RNAcentral lists this unclassified non-coding RNA (20 nucleotides) under Chlamydomonas reinhardtii. Its description in RNAcentral is "small RNA Cre_0450". Lineage: Eukaryota; Viridiplantae; Chlorophyta; Chlorophyceae; Chlamydomonadales; Chlamydomonadaceae. The record is from RNAcentral.
AGCACCGUGUACUUGGGCGG